This 1848-nucleotide ribosomal RNA is filed under the name Photobacterium kishitanii. Its description in RNAcentral is "bacterial LSU rRNA". It matches the Rfam family "Bacterial large subunit ribosomal RNA", at positions 399 to 2231 of the family's 2925-position model. The record is from RNAcentral. Lineage: Bacteria; Pseudomonadati; Pseudomonadota; Gammaproteobacteria; Vibrionales; Vibrionaceae.
UUAGUGAAAUCGAGUAGGACGGGACACGUGAUAUCCUGUUUGAACAUGGGGGGACCAUCCUCCAAGGCUAAAUACUCCUGACUGACCGAUAGUGAACCAGUACCGUGAGGGAAAGGCGAAAAGAACCCCUGUGAGGGGAGUGAAAUAGAACCUGAAACCGUGUACGUACAAGCAGUAGGAGCCCACUUGUUGGGUGACUGCGUACCUUUUGUAUAAUGGGUCAGCGACUUAAUUUUAGUAGCAAGGUUAACCGUUUAGGGGAGCCGUAGGGAAACCGAGUCUUAACUGGGCGUCAUAGUUGCUAGGAUUAGACCCGAAACCGAGUGAUCUAGCCAUGGGCAGGUUGAAGGUGAGGUAACACUUACUGGAGGACCGAACCGACUAAUGUUGAAAAAUUAGCGGAUGACUUGUGGCUAGGGGUGAAAGGCCAAUCAAACUCGGAGAUAGCUGGUUCUCCCCGAAAGCUAUUUAGGUAGCGCCUCGGACGAAUACUACUGGGGGUAGAGCACUGUUAAGGCUAGGGGGUCAUCCCGACUUACCAACCCUUUGCAAACUCCGAAUACCAGUAAGUAAUAUCCGGGAGACACACGGCGGGUGCUAACGUCCGUCGUGAAGAGGGAAACAACCCAGACCGCCAGCUAAGGUCCCAAAGUUAUAGCUAAGUGGGAAACGAUGUGGGAAGGCUCAGACAGCCAGGAUGUUGGCUUAGAAGCAGCCAUCAUUUAAAGAAAGCGUAAUAGCUCACUGGUCGAGUCGGCCUGCGCGGAAGAUUUAACGGGGCUAAGCUAUACACCGAAGCUGCGGCAAUGUGAAUUUAUUCACAUUGGGUAGGGGAGCGUUCUGUAAGCCGUUGAAGGUGCAUUGUAAAGUGUGCUGGAGGUAUCAGAAGUGCGAAUGCUGACAUGAGUAACGAUAAAGGGAGUGAAAAACUCCCUCGCCGGAAGAUCAAGGGUUCCUGUCCAACGUUAAUCGGGGCAGGGUAAGUCGACCCCUAAGGCGAGGCCGAAAGGCGUAGUCGAUGGGAAACGGGUUAAUAUUCCCGUACUUCUUAUAAUUGCGAUGGAGGGACGGAGAAGGCUAGGUGAGCCUGGCGACGGUUGUCCAGGUCCAAGUAUGUAGGCUGAUGAAUUAGGCAAAUCCGGUUCAUCUUAAGGCUGAGAUACGAUGUCGAGCUACUACGGUAGUGAAGUCAUUGAUGCCAUGCUUCCGGGAAAAGCUUCUAAGCUUCAGAUUAUAAGAAAUCGUACCCCAAACCGACACAGGUGAUCAGGUAGAGAAUACCAAGGCGCUUGAGAGAACUCGGGUGAAGGAACUAGGCAAAAUGGUACCGUAACUUCGGGAGAAGGUACGCUCCUAGCGGUGAUGAGACUUGCUCUCUAAGCUGCCGGGAGUCGCAGAUACCAGGUGGCUGCAACUGUUUAUUAAAAACACAGCACUGUGCAAAAUCGAAAGAUGACGUAUACGGUGUGACGCCUGCCCGGUGCCGGAAGGUUAAUUGAUGGGGUUAGACUUCGGUCGAAGCUCUUGAUCGAAGCCCCGGUAAACGGCGGCCGUAACUAUAACGGUCCUAAGGUAGCGAAAUUCCUUGUCGGGUAAGUUCCGACCUGCACGAAUGGCGUAAUGAUGGCCACGCUGUCUCCACCCGAGACUCAGUGAAAUUGAAAUCGCAGUGAAGAUGCUGUGUACCCGCGGCUAGACGGAAAGACCCCGUGAACCUUUACUAUAGCUUGGCACUGAACAUUGACCCUACAUGUGUAGGAUAGGUGGGAGACGUUGAAGCAACCGCGCCAGUGGUUGUGGAGUCAAUCUUGAAAUACCACCCUUGUAUGCUUGAUGUUCUAACGUUGG